GUGCCAGCAGCCGCGGUAAUACAGAGGGUGCAAGCGUUAAUCGGAAUUACUGGGCGUAAAGCGCGCGUAGGUGGUUAGUUAAGUUGGAUGUGAAAUCCCCGGGCUCAACCUGGGAACUGCAUUCAAAACUGACUGACUAGAGUAUGGUAGAGGGUGGUGGAAUUUCCUGUGUAGCGGUGAAAUGCGUAGAUAUAGGAAGGAACACCAGUGGCGAAGGCGACCACCUGGACUGAUACUGACACUGAGGUGCGAAAGCGUGGGGAGCAAACAGGAUUAGAAACCCCAGUAGUCC
Molecule: ribosomal RNA, 292 nt
Filed under: Escherichia coli
Lineage: Bacteria; Pseudomonadati; Pseudomonadota; Gammaproteobacteria; Enterobacterales; Enterobacteriaceae
Description: partial 16S ribosomal RNA
Rfam family: Bacterial small subunit ribosomal RNA
Source: RNAcentral